RNAcentral lists this ribosomal RNA (262 nucleotides) under uncultured bacterium. RNAcentral describes it as "partial 16S ribosomal RNA". It matches the Rfam family "Bacterial small subunit ribosomal RNA", at positions 793 to 1055 of the family's 1533-position model. The record is from RNAcentral.
GUCCUAGCCGUAAACGGUGGGCACUAGGUGUUGGAGGCAUCGACCCCUCCAGUGCCGCAGCUAACGCAUUAAGUGCCCCGCCUGGGGAGUACGGCCGCAAGGUUGAAACUCAAAGGAAUUGACGGGGCCCGCACAAGCGGUGGAGCAUGUGGUUCAAUUCGACGCAACGCGAAGAACCUUACCCAGACUUGACAUGCACGAGACCGGUGUCGAAAUACACCUUCCCUUCGGGGCUCGUGCACAGAUGCUGCAUGGCUGUCGU